This 79-nucleotide small RNA is filed under the name Thauera humireducens. Its description in RNAcentral is "isrK". It matches the Rfam family "isrK Hfq binding RNA". The record is from RNAcentral. Lineage: Bacteria; Pseudomonadati; Pseudomonadota; Betaproteobacteria; Rhodocyclales; Zoogloeaceae.
GUCGGCGCAAACAACGCCGGCCGGGAUUGGUCUCCCGGAAUGCUAGGCGGACAGAUCCGCCCCCUAUGGCGGAUUUUUU